This 184-nucleotide non-coding RNA is filed under the name unclassified sequences. The record is from Rfam.
UCGGUCGGAACCGGCGCACUCCACUUCAUGCGCCGGCAACGGCUGAAAAUAAAGGAGGCAAUCAUCCCUCGGCUUGGGGUGCGGCAGUGUGGAGACCUGUCGCAAUGCGUGUCCGGCAUUGCACGGAACGCGAGACGGUUCGUUGGAGAAGUCCGGGGCCGUUAAAGCCAGACGCAGUAUGGCA